UACGUAGGUGGCAAGCGUUGUCCGGAUUUACUGGGCGUAAGGAGCGCGCAGGCGGUCGUUCAAGUCGCGUGUGAAAGCCCCCGGCUCAACUGGGGAGGGUCACGCGAUACUGAUCGACUCGAAGGCAGGAGAGGGUAGUGGAAUUCCCGGUGUAGUGGUGAAAUGCGUAGAUAUCGGGAGGAACACCAGUGGCGAAGGCGACUACCUGGCCUGUUUCUUGACGCUGAGGCGCGAAAGCUAGGGGAGCAAACGGG
RNAcentral lists this ribosomal RNA (254 nucleotides) under uncultured bacterium. RNAcentral's name for it is "partial 16S ribosomal RNA". It matches the Rfam family "Bacterial small subunit ribosomal RNA", at positions 524 to 776 of the family's 1533-position model. The record is from RNAcentral.